UACGAAGGGUGCAAGCGUUAAUCGGAAUUACUGGGCGUAAAGCGUGCGUAGGUGGUCUUUUAAGUCCGUUGUGGAAGCCCUGGGCUCAACCUGGGAAUGGCAGUGGAUACUGGAAGGCUGGAGUACGGUAGAGGAGGGUGGAAUUCCCGGUGUAGCGGUGAAAUGCGUAGAGAUCGGGAGGAACAUCAGUGGCGAAGGCGGCCCUCUGGACCAGUACUGACGCUGAGGCACGAAAGCGUGGGGAGCAAACAGG
RNAcentral lists this ribosomal RNA (253 nucleotides) under uncultured bacterium. Its description in RNAcentral is "partial 16S ribosomal RNA". It matches the Rfam family "Bacterial small subunit ribosomal RNA", at positions 524 to 776 of the family's 1533-position model. The record is from RNAcentral.